GAUUAAGUUAUUAAGGGCGCACGGUGGAUGCCUUGGCACUAGAAGCCGAUGAAGGACGUUACUAACGACGAUAUGCUUUGGGGAGCUGUAAGUAAGCUUUGAUCCAGAGAUUUCCGAAUGGGGAAACCCAGCAUGAGUUAUGUCAUGUUAUCGAUAUGUGAAUACAUAGCAUAUCAGAAGGCACACCCGGAGAACUGAAACAUCUUAGUACCCGGAGGAAGAGAAAGAAAAUUCGAUUCCCUUAGUAGCGGCGAGCGAAACGGGAAGAGCCCAAACCAACAAGCUUGCUUGUUGGGGUUGUAGGACACUCUAUACGGAGUUACAAAGGACGACAUUAGACGAAUCAUCUGGAAAGAUGAAUCAAAGAAGGUAAUAAUCCUGUAGUCGAAAAUGUUGUCUCUCUUGAGUGGAUCCUGAGUACGACGGAGCACGUGAAAUUCCGUCGGAAUCUGGGAGGACCAUCUCCUAAGGCUAAAUACUCUCUAGUGACCGAUAGUGAACCAGUACCGUGAGGGAAAGGUGAAAAGCACCCCGGAAGGGGAGUGAAAUAGAACCUGAAACCGUGUGCUUACAAGUAGUCAGAGCCCGUUAAUGGGUGAUGGCGUGCCUUUUGUAGAAUGAACCGGCGAGUUACGAUUUGAUGCAAGGUUAAGCAGUAAAUGUGGAGCCGUAGCGAAAGCGAGUCUGAAUAGGGCGUUUAGUAUUUGGUCGUAGACCCGAAACCAGGUGAUCUACCCUUGGUCAGGUUGAAGUUCAGGUAACACUGAAUGGAGGACCGAACCGACUUACGUUGAAAAGUGAGCGGAUGAACUGAGGGUAGCGGAGAAAUUCCAAUCGAACCUGGAGAUAGCUGGUUCUCUCCGAAAUAGCUUUAGGGCUAGCCUCAAGUGAUGAUUAUUGGAGGUAGAGCACUGUUUGGACGAGGGGCCCCUCUCGGGUUACCGAAUUCAGACAAACUCCGAAUGCCAAUUAAUUUAACUUGGGAGUCAGAACAUGGGUGAUAAGGUCCGUGUUCGAAAGGGAAACAGCCCAGACCACCAGCUAAGGUCCCAAAAUAUAUGUUAAGUGGAAAAGGAUGUGGCGUUGCCCAGACAACUAGGAUGUUGGCUUAGAAGCAGCCAUCAUUUAAAGAGUGCGUAAUAGCUCACUAGUCGAGUGACACUGCGCCGAAAAUGUACCGGGGCUAAACAUAUUACCGAAGCUGUGGAUUGUCCUUUGGACAAUGGUAGGAGAGCGUUCUAAGGGCGUUGAAGCAUGAUCGUAAGGACAUGUGGAGCGCUUAGAAGUGAGAAUGCCGGUGUGAGUAGCGAAAGACGGGUGAGAAUCCCGUCCACCGAUUGACUAAGGUUUCCAGAGGAAGGCUCGUCCGCUCUGGGUUAGUCGGGUCCUAAGCUGAGGCCGACAGGCGUAGGCGAUGGAUAACAGGUUGAUAUUCCUGUACCACCUAUAAUCGUUUUAAUCGAUGGGGGGACGCAGUAGGAUAGGCGAAGCGUGCGAUUGGAUUGCACGUCUAAGCAGUAAGGCUGAGUAUUAGGCAAAUCCGGUACUCGUUAAGGCUGAGCUGUGAUGGGGAGAAGACAUUGUGUCUUCGAGUCGUUGAUUUCACACUGCCGAGAAAAGCCUCUAGAUAGAAAAUAGGUGCCCGUACCGCAAACCGACACAGGUAGUCAAGAUGAGAAUUCUAAGGUGAGCGAGCGAACUCUCGUUAAGGAACUCGGCAAAAUGACCCCGUAACUUCGGGAGAAGGGGUGCUCUUUAGGGUUAACGCCCAGAAGAGCCGCAGUGAAUAGGCCCAAGCGACUGUUUAUCAAAAACACAGGUCUCUGCUAAACCGUAAGGUGAUGUAUAGGGGCUGACGCCUGCCCGGUGCUGGAAGGUUAAGAGGAGUGGUUAGCUUCUGCGAAGCUACGAAUCGAAGCCCCAGUAAACGGCGGCCGUAACUAUAACGGUCCUAAGGUAGCGAAAUUCCUUGUCGGGUAAGUUCCGACCCGCACGAAAGGCGUAACGAUUUGGGCACUGUCUCAACGAGAGACUCGGUGAAAUCAUAGUACCUGUGAAGAUGCAGGUUACCCGCGACAGGACGAAAAGACCCCGUGGAGCUUUACUGUAGCCUGAUAUUGAAAUUCGGCACAGCUUGUACAGGAUAGGUAGGAGCCUUUGAAACGUGAGCGCUAGCUUACGUGGAGGCGCUGGUGGGAUACUACCCUAGCUGUGUUGGCUUUCUAACCCGCACCACUUAUCGUGGUGGGAGACAGUGUCAGGCGGGCAGUUUGACUGGGGCGGUCGCCUCCUAAAAGGUAACGGAGGCGCUCAAAGGUUCCCUCAGAAUGGUUGGAAAUCAUUCAUAGAGUGUAAAGGCAUAAGGGAGCUUGACUGCGAGACCUACAAGUCGAGCAGGGUCGAAAGACGGACUUAGUGAUCCGGUGGUUCCGCAUGGAAGGGCCAUCGCUCAACGGAUAAAAGCUACCCCGGGGAUAACAGGCUUAUCUCCCCCAAGAGUUCACAUCGACGGGGAGGUUUGGCACCUCGAUGUCGGCUCAUCGCAUCCUGGGGCUGUAGUCGGUCCCAAGGGUUGGGCUGUUCGCCCAUUAAAGCGGUACGCGAGCUGGGUUCAGAACGUCGUGAGACAGUUCGGUCCCUAUCCGUCGUGGGCGUAGGAAAUUUGAGAGGAGCUGUCCUUAGUACGAGAGGACCGGGAUGGACAUACCUCUGGUGUACCAGUUGUCGUGCCAACGGCAUAGCUGGGUAGCUAUGUGUGGACGGGAUAAGUGCUGAAAGCAUCUAAGCAUGAAGCCCCCCUCAAGAUGAGAUUUCCCAACUUCGGUUAUAAGAUCCCUCAAAGAUGAUGAGGUUAAUAGGUUCGAGGUGGAAGCAUGGUGACAUGUGGAGCUGACGAAUACUAAUCGAUCGAAGACUUAAUCAA
This 2923-nucleotide ribosomal RNA is filed under the name Staphylococcus aureus. RNAcentral's name for it is "23S ribosomal RNA". It matches the Rfam family "Bacterial large subunit ribosomal RNA". Lineage: Bacteria; Bacillati; Bacillota; Bacilli; Caryophanales; Staphylococcaceae. The record is from RNAcentral.